Non-coding RNA from Pelobates cultripes (western spadefoot toad), 100 nucleotides. The record is from the annotation of a GenBank genome assembly. Lineage: Eukaryota; Metazoa; Chordata; Amphibia; Anura; Pelobatidae.
GCUCCCUCAUAGUUCCCACAAUUCCCAGCGCAGCCACAUCAUAGAGUAACCACUACUCUAUGAUGUGGCUGCGCUGGGAAUUGUGGGAACUAUGAGGGAG